GAUGAACGCUGGCGGCGUGCCUAAUACAUGCAAGUCGAGCGAACAGACGAGGAGCUUGCUCCUCUGACGUUAGCGGCGGACGGGUGAGUAACACGUGGAUAACCUACCUAUAAGACUGGGAUAACUUCGGGAAACCGGAGCUAAUACCGGAUAAUAUAUUGAACCGCAUGGUUCAAUAGUGAAAGACGGUAUUGCUGUCACUUAUAGAUGGAUCCGCGCCGCAUUAGCUAGUUGGUAAGGUAACGGCUUACCAAGGCAACGAUGCGUAGCCGACCUGAGAGGGUGAUCGGCCACACUGGAACUGAGACACGGUCCAGACUCCUACGGGAGGCAGCAGUAGGGAAUCUUCCGCAAUGGGCGAAAGCCUGACGGAGCAACGCCGCGUGAGUGAUGAAGGUCUGCGGAUCGUAAAACUCUGUUAUUAGGGAAGAACAAAUGUGUAAGUAACUAUGCACGUCUUGACGGUACCUAAUCAGAAAGCCACGGCUAACUACGU
This 496-nucleotide ribosomal RNA is filed under the name uncultured bacterium. Its description in RNAcentral is "partial 16S ribosomal RNA". It matches the Rfam family "Bacterial small subunit ribosomal RNA", at positions 28 to 506 of the family's 1533-position model. The record is from RNAcentral.